UACGGAGGGGGCUAGCGUUGUUCGGAAUUACUGGGCGUAAAGCGCACGUAGGCGGCUUUGUAAGUUAGAGGUGAAAGCCCGGGGCUCAACCCCGGAAUUGCCUUUAAGACUGCAUCGCUAGAAUUGUGGAGAGGUAAGUGGAAUUCCGAGUGUAGAGGUGAAAUUCGUAGAUAUCGGAAGGAACAUCAGUGGCGAAAGCGGCUUCCUGGUCCAGCACCGACGUUCAGGCACGAAAGCGUGGGGAGCAAACAGG
This 253-nucleotide ribosomal RNA is filed under the name uncultured bacterium. RNAcentral describes it as "partial 16S ribosomal RNA". It matches the Rfam family "Bacterial small subunit ribosomal RNA", at positions 524 to 776 of the family's 1533-position model. The record is from RNAcentral.